GACGAACGCUGGCGGCGUGCCUAAUACAUGCAAGUAGAACGCUGAAGCGAGGAGCUUGCUCUUCUUGGAUGAGUUGCGAACGGGUGAGUAACGCGUAGGUAACCUGCCUGGUAGCGGGGGAUAACUAUUGGAAACGAUAGCUAAUACCGCAUAAAAUUGAUUAUUGCAUGAUAAUUAAUUGAAAGAUGCAACUGCAUCACUACCAGAUGGACCUGCGUUGUAUUAGCUAGUUGGUGAGGUAACGGCUCACCAAGGUGACGAUACAUAGCCGACCUGAGAGGGUGAUCGGCCACACUGGGACUGAGACACGGCCCAGACUCCUACGGGAGGCAGCAGUAGGGAAUCUUCGGCAAUGGGGGGAACCCUGACCGAGCAACGCCGCGUGAGUGAAGAAGGUUUUCGGAUCGUAAAGCUCUGUUGUAAGAGAAGAACGGGUGUGAGAGUGGAAAGUUCACACUGUGACGGUAGCUUACCAGAAAGGGACGGCUAACUACGUG
This 497-nucleotide ribosomal RNA is filed under the name uncultured bacterium. Its description in RNAcentral is "partial 16S ribosomal RNA". It matches the Rfam family "Bacterial small subunit ribosomal RNA", at positions 28 to 507 of the family's 1533-position model. The record is from RNAcentral.